CCCUGAGCGGGCUCUCGCCUCUGGUGUCAAGCGCCCGGCACCCAGCGCUCCAGGGAGAGCAUCAGGUGGGGAGUUGACUUGGGCGUUACACCUGUCAAACUGUAACACAGAUGUCCUAAGGCGAGCUCAGGGAGGACAGAAACUUCACUUGGAGCAGAAGGGCAAAAGCUCGCUUUAUCUUGAUUUUCAGUAUGAAUACAGACCGUGAAAGCGGGGCCUCACGAUCCUCAUACUUUUUGGGUUUUAAGCAGGAGGUGUCAGAAAAGUUACCACAGGGAUUAACUGGCUUGUGGCAGCCAAGCGUUCAUAGCGACGUGGCUUUUUGAUCCUUCGAUGUCGGCUCUUCCUGUCAUUGUGAAGCAGAAUUCACCCAGCGUUGGAUUGUUCACCCACUAAGGGAACGUGAGCUGGGUUUAGACCGUCGUGAGACAGGUUAG
RNAcentral lists this non-coding RNA (437 nucleotides) under Oreochromis niloticus (Nile tilapia). Its description in RNAcentral is "Archaeal large subunit ribosomal RNA". It matches the Rfam family "Eukaryotic large subunit ribosomal RNA", at positions 2545 to 2986 of the family's 3401-position model. The record is from Rfam by way of RNAcentral. Lineage: Eukaryota; Metazoa; Chordata; Actinopteri; Cichliformes; Cichlidae.